Molecule: unclassified non-coding RNA, 221 nt
Filed under: uncultured fungus
Lineage: Eukaryota; Fungi
Description: partial contains 18S rRNA, ITS1, 5.8S rRNA, ITS2 and 28S rRNA
Source: RNAcentral
AAGGAUCAUUAAAAGGUUUAUCUAGGGGUGGGUAAAACCUCCCUAGAAAACUCCACCCUUGUGUAUUAUUACUUGUUGCUUUGGUGGGCCGCGAGAUUGCCUAGCGAUUGAGCACCGGCUUCGGCUGGAGAGCGCCUGCCAGAGGACCAAACUCUGUUAUUUUAUGUCGUCUGAGUACUAUUUAAUAGUUAAAACUUUCAACAACGGAUCUCUUGGUUCUG